CGGCAGUCACAGCCGCUUUCAAAGAGUAAGAAAGUGAAAGCUUUGGACUUUGGAGUCAUCUGUAAUCUAACAUCGGUCACCAGAGGACUGAGGAGACAGGGGGAGUCCGUUGAACACCACAAAGAAUCAUCUGGAGGUUCUGGAGAGCAGGUUCUCCACGAAGACAACCAUGGAGGGAAACCGGAUUACCACUGCUGGGACCCAAACCAGAGCCGGUUCAGCAACGGACCUCCAGGUUUUGACCCACAGGGUGGGGCUACUGGAACACAGCGUGAGAGACAAUGUCAGCUCCUUUGCAGAGUCUGAGAGCGUCCUGCACAACAGGAUCAGAGAGCUGGAGGUGUCAGAGAAGAGCCUGCUACAGAAAGUGGAGGAGCUCACCGCCAACUCAAUCCUCCGCUGUCCCAGCAUGCAGCAGCGCCAGAGGCUGGACGAGCGGCUCCAUGCGCUCAGGGAGGAGGUGCGGUCUGUGUCCCAGGAGAAGGAGCGCGGUGAACGUGUUUGGAGAGACAGGCUACAGCGAUGCCAGGCACUACUCAGGGCCAAAGAAGAAGAGAUGGGCCACCAGUCGCAGUACUUUGAACGCUUUAAAAGCCAGUUACAGCAGAAGCUUGACCUGGCCAGAGACCGAGAGCAAAGCCUGCAGACCAGAGUCCGCCAACUGGAGAAUCAGGUCCUGGAGAUGACUGGGUCUGAAACCACCAACAUAACCAGAGUUAAUGCAGCCUGCCUCAACACUGCUACUGCAGCCAAUGUCAGCAGUGUCAUGGCAACCACCUCAGCUCAACAUAGGGCAGAGAUGGACUCAGAGAGACUGCCCCACCCAAGAGAGGAAGGAGAGGGAGAGGAGGAGGACAGGGAGGAGACGACACUGUGGAGACACUAUGCACAGCAGCUCCAGCAGAAACCGGGGGAUGAUGAUGAUGGAGAGAUAGAGGGUGAAGGAGAGGCUGAAAGUCCAGGAGCUGGGGCCAAACUGAG
This is a long non-coding RNA of Esox lucius (northern pike), 981 nucleotides long. NCBI's taxonomy places the organism in Eukaryota, Metazoa, Chordata, Actinopteri, Esociformes, Esocidae. The record is from Ensembl.